Molecule: long non-coding RNA, 218 nt
Filed under: Capsicum annuum
Lineage: Eukaryota; Viridiplantae; Streptophyta; Magnoliopsida; Solanales; Solanaceae
Description: long non-coding RNA (CANN_LNC009729)
Source: RNAcentral
AAUGCAAUCACUUGAUAGCUCUCGCGAGUGUGCCAUUUGAUCUUUAAUACUCCCUGUUUCAAUUUAUUUGACCUAUUUUGACUUGACAAUUGACACAGAGUUUAAGAAAAUAUAAACAUGUGGGCUUUUCGACUCUCUCAAUCGUGUGGCAGGCCAAAUCGGAGCUGAAGAGAUAGGCUGUGGCUGAUAAUGAGUCUGGAAAGAGUAAGCACAGCGAG